This 468-nucleotide ribosomal RNA is filed under the name uncultured bacterium. RNAcentral describes it as "partial 16S ribosomal RNA". It matches the Rfam family "Bacterial small subunit ribosomal RNA", at positions 28 to 507 of the family's 1533-position model. The record is from RNAcentral.
GAUGAACGCUGGCGGCGUGCUUAACACAUGCAAGUCGAACGGUGAAGGCGGAGCUUGCUCUGCUGGAUCAGUGGCGAACGGGUGAGUAACACGUGAGCAAUCUGCCCCUGACUCUGGGAUAAGCGCUGGAAACGGCGUCUAAUACUGGAUACGAGCUGCGAAGGCAUCUUCAGCAGCUGGAAAGAACUUCGGUCAGGGAUGAGCUCGCGGCCUACCAGCUUGUUGGUGAGGUAACGGCUCACCAAGGCGUCGACGGGUAGCCGGCCUGAGAGGGUGACCGGCCACACUGGGACUGAGAGACGGCGCAGACUCCUACGGGAGGCAGCAGGGGGGAAUAUUGCACAAUGGGCGAAAGCCUGAUGCAGCAACGCCGCGUGAGGGACGACGGCCUUCGGGUUGUAAACCUCUUUUAGCAGGGAAGAAGCGAAAGUGACGGUACCUGCAGAAAAAGCGCCGGCUAACUACGUG